This 284-nucleotide ribosomal RNA is filed under the name uncultured bacterium. Its description in RNAcentral is "partial 16S ribosomal RNA". It matches the Rfam family "Bacterial small subunit ribosomal RNA", at positions 773 to 1060 of the family's 1533-position model. The record is from RNAcentral.
GUGGAUUAGAUACCCUGGUAGUCCACGCCGUAAACGAUGAUCACUCGUUGUUGGCGAUACACCGUCAGCGACUGAGCGAAAGCAAUAAGUGAUCCACCUGGGGAGUACGGUCGCAAGACUGAAACUCAAAGGAAUUGACGGGGGCCCGCACAAGCGGAGGAACAUGUGGUUUAAUUCGAUGAUACGCGAGGAACCUUACCUGGGCUUGAAAGGGGAACGACCUCCCGGGAAACCGGGAUUCUCUUCGGAGCGUUCUCCUAGGUGCUGCACGGCCGUCGACAACU